GAGCAAAGACCUAUUGAAGCUCUCUAUAUCCUAAAAUGGAAGCAGAACUCUUAGACAGAGAAAACUGGUGCUGGGCGGCUUGUGUAUACACCUCUGGUGAGAACGUCUCACACGCUACUGCAGUCUCUCUCGCUGGCCCAGGAGGCGCCUGGGGACCCGGACUGUGUCUUGCUCACUCAGACACUCUCAGUGCCUUGCACAACGCCUGGAAUCACAGGCUUUAUGGCACCUUUGAAGAAACAAAAGCUUUACAGAGAAAAGGCCGGCUUGGCAGCGGAGUCUGCCCCCCAGCUCCCCUUCAGCUCACUUUCCUAUGUUCCUGGAGUCUUUCUCUGUUGAAACAAACAAAACACUCAUAGGUGCCAUAUUGAGGCUCCA
Long non-coding RNA from Suricata suricatta (meerkat), 378 nucleotides. RefSeq lists it as uncharacterized. The record is from RefSeq and is a predicted model, not a curated record. Lineage: Eukaryota; Metazoa; Chordata; Mammalia; Carnivora; Herpestidae. The transcript is spliced from 3 exons.